RNAcentral lists this transfer RNA (85 nucleotides) under Methyloversatilis universalis. It matches the Rfam family "tRNA". Rfam says of the family: Transfer RNA (tRNA) molecules are approximately 80 nucleotides in length. RNAcentral also lists the same sequence under 10 other names. The record is from RNAcentral. Lineage: Bacteria; Pseudomonadati; Pseudomonadota; Betaproteobacteria; Nitrosomonadales; Sterolibacteriaceae.
GCGCGGGUGGCGAAAUUGGUAGACGCGCUGUCUUGAGGGGGCAGUGCCGCAAGGCGUGAGAGUUCGAGUCUCUCUCCGCGCACCA